Non-coding RNA from Paramuricea clavata, 223 nucleotides. Lineage: Eukaryota; Metazoa; Cnidaria; Anthozoa; Malacalcyonacea; Plexauridae. The record is from the annotation of a GenBank genome assembly.
UCUAACUUUUCUUUAGUUAUUAAUUCAUCAAAAUGAGGCAAAUAUUGGCAAAUAUAAGAAAUUUCCUUGAAAGGAUGUGGGAAAAAUGUGGAAACAUUGACUCCGAAUGAAUGUCUCCGAUUGCGAAAUCAGCUUGACGACAAGAAAUUGUGUAUAGAGUAUUAGAGUUUUAAAUUUUAGCUGAUAAAUAUACAAGUUAACAUAAUGUCACAAGGAUCCGAGG